AGCUUCACGUCCUAGAACCGAGUCUCUUCUCUUUCGUAAAAUAGCCCCAACCAAUGAAUACUAAUUUUUUAAAAUCCCGGAUGCUGCACUGGGGGAAAGGAAGAAAAAGGAAGUUUCUGGAAAGGGACCUAAGGGAGGAGGGAGGGGAAAUACAGAUGAAGUCAUGAGGAUGCCACCCCACCCCGCUUCAGACACAUGCCCUUAAAGAAGAGGAAGAGGCUGGAGUCACAUGUUUGCAGCAUCUGCAUAGCAGGAAAUGGGUCCUCACCGGACACCACUUGCAUCAGAGCUUUGAUGUUGUAGUUCCCAUGCCCUGGAACUGUGGAGAGAGGUCCCUGUUUGUCUGCAUGAGGCAACAUGCUUGCGAGCAGAAGUUGCAACUAAGGAUUUCAGAGGUGCCAACAGGAGGCGCCUAGACCUGCUGGUGGUUGCACUGGCCUUCUGGGAUUCUACUUGCCCUAACUCUCUGCCCUCUUCUCCUUCUCCUUCUCCUCCUCCUCCUCCUCCUCCUCCUCCUCCUCCUGUUUUAGAUUUUUUUUUUUUAUGAGAAAAAUAAACACAUUUUUGGUAGGUCAGCUUCCUGUAGCUUGUAGCCAAGUACAAGCCCUGGAUACAGCAAUGGCUUUAAGUCCUUCAUGUUUCUUUAAAUGGCCUUUAAAUGUAUAGUGGCAGAAGUCUUCAAUCGCAACACUCAGGAACCAGAAGCAGGCAGAUCACUGUGAGUUCAAGGCCAGCUACAUGGUGAGACUGUGUCAGAGUGAGAGAGAGAGAGAGAGAGAGAGAGAGAGAGAGAGAGAGAGAGAGGGUUUUCUUUGAUCAGUAAGCCUGUUCCUCCAUGACAGACAGUGCCUCCUCCAGCACACAGUAAGUUUGUACUAAUGAAAUCUCCCUGGAAACAGAACAUUCUGUUUUAUUGGUUUAUUUACUUAUUCCUGGACAAACAAUACAAAGAUUGGGGGUGUUAAAGCCUCUUCUCUCCCUUCCCCUCUUGCUCCUCCUCUUUAUUUUCUAAGUUGUUAUUUAUUUUUUUCACAGAUAUUUCUGAGUUCUUAGUAAGUACCAGGUCCCAUCCCACACUGUAUGACACAACACUGAACAAAGCAAGCAAGUCCCUGUGUGGCCCUUGGCAGUGCGAGCCACCCUUCAUUGUUCCAUAUUCAUUUUGGAGUCAGUCUGACCAAUUCUUGACAAUUCUAAUGGAAAGAAAAGUUUCAUGAAGUGCUCUGUGGGACUCCAUUGUCUCGAUACACUGUGUUCUGUUUUGUGAAAGAACAUUUGAGCUGUUUCUAGUUUGGGAAUAUUAAAACAUUAUGCUUUUGUGAAUGCUU
This 1328-nucleotide long non-coding RNA is filed under the name Mus pahari (shrew mouse). RNAcentral's name for it is "lncRNA (MGP_PahariEiJ_G0004142.1)". The record is from RNAcentral. Lineage: Eukaryota; Metazoa; Chordata; Mammalia; Rodentia; Muridae.